GGGUUGUUUAAUAUAAACCUGGUGCAUCACAAGACAUAAACAACGACAGAUGAGGAAGUGAAGCCGGAAGUUUUAACAUGAACAAUAUCAAUAGUGAGCAAACGGAUGUGUGAACAAGUUUGAGAAAAUCAAGGGCUUGGUCACUGGAGUGUUUUGAUAAUGGAGUCCGGUGUUCAGGUGAGGCCAGGUGAGUGUUGAUACAGGUGUUCAGGUGGAGGUGAGGCCAGGUGAGUGUUGGUGUUGAUACAGGUGUUCAGGUGGAGGUGAGGCCAGGUGAGUGUUGAUACAGGUGUUCAGGUGGAGGUGAGGCCAGGUGAGUGUUGAUACAGGUGUUCAGGUGGAGGUGAGGCCAGGUGAGUGUUGGUGUUGAUACAGGUGUUCAGGUGGAGGUGAGGCCAGGUGAGUGUUGGUGUUGAUACAGGUGUUCAGGUGGAGGUGAGGCCAGGUGAGUGUUGGUGUUGAUACAGGUGUUCAGGUGGAGGUGAGGCCAGGUGAGUGUUGGUGUUGAUACAGGUGUUCAGGUGGAGGUGAGGCCAGGUGAGUGUUGGUGUUGAUACAGGUGUUCAGGUGGAGGUGAGGCCAGGUGAGUGUUGAUACAGGUGUUCAGGUGGAGGUGAGGCCAGGUGAGUGUUGAUACAGGUGUUCAGGUGGAGGUGAGGCCAGGUGAGUGUUGGUGUUGAUACAGGUGUUCAGGUGGAGGUGAGGCCAGGUGAGUGUUGGUGUUGAUACAGGUGUUCAGGUGGAGGUGAGGCCAGGUGAGUGUUGGUGUUGAUACAGGUGUUCAGGUGGAGGUGAGGCCAGGUGAGUGUUGAUACAGGUGUUCAGGUGGAGGUGAGGCCAGGUGAGUGUUGGUGUUGAUACAGGUGUUCAGGUGGAGGUGAGGCCAGGUGAGUGUUGAUACAGGUGUUCAGGUGGAGGUGAGGCCAGGUGAGUGUUGAUACAGGUGUUCAGGUGGAGGUGAGGCCAGGUGAGUGUUGGUGUUGAUACAGGUGUGGUCAGGUGGAGGUGAGGCCAGGUGAGUGAUGGUGUUGAUACAGGUGUGUUCAGGUGGAGGUGAGGCCAGGUGAGUGAUGGUGUUGAUACAGGUGUGUUCAGGUGGAGGUGAGGCCAGGUGAGUGAUGGUGUUGAUACAGGUGUGUUCAGGUGUGUUUCCUUCAGGUGUGUUUCCUUCAGGUGUGUUUCUUUCAGGUGUGUUUCCUUCAGGUGUGUUUCCUUCAGGUGUGUUUCCUUCAGGUGUGUUUCCUUCAGGUGUGUUUCCUUCAGGUGUGUUUCUUUCAGGUGUGUUUCCUUCAGGUGUGUUUCCUUCAGGUGUGUUUCCUUCAGGUGUGUUUCCUUCAGGUGUGUUUCCUUCAGGUGUGUUUCCUUCAGGUGUGUUUCUUUCAGGUGUGUUUCCUUCAGGUGUGUUUCCUUCAGGUGUGUUUCCUUCAGGUGUGUUUCCUUCAGGUGUGUUUCCUUCAGGUGUGUUUCCUUCAGGUGUGUUUCUUUCAGGUGUGUUUCCUUCAGGUGUGUUUCCUUCAGGUGUGUUUUCCAGGAGCCAGGUGAUCUCUGUUAGGGAGACCAACUAUUAUCUGGGGAAGUCAUCACCUGCGGAGGAGGUUCUUGAGGAGUGUGUGUGUGUGUGUGUGU
Oncorhynchus keta (chum salmon) is the source of this 1626-nucleotide long non-coding RNA. RefSeq lists it as uncharacterized. Lineage: Eukaryota; Metazoa; Chordata; Actinopteri; Salmoniformes; Salmonidae. The record is from RefSeq and is a predicted model, not a curated record. The transcript is spliced from 10 exons.